AUUGAACGCUGGCGGCAGGCUUAACACAUGCAAGUCGAGCGGGGGAAGGUAGCUUGCUACCGGACCUAGCGGCGGACGGGUGAGUAAUGCUUAGGAAUCUGCCUAUUAGUGGGGGACAACAUCUCGAAAGGGAUGCUAAUACCGCAUACGUCCUACGGGAGAAAGCAGGGGAUCUUCGGACCUUGCGCUAAUAGAUGAGCCUAAGUCGGAUUAGCUAGUUGGUGGGGUAAAGGCCUACCAAGGCGACGAUCUGUAGCGGGUCUGAGAGGAUGAUCCGCCACACUGGGACUUAGACACGGCCCAGACUCCUACGGGAGGCAGUAGUGGGGAAUAUUGGACAAUGGGGGGAACCCUGAUCCAGCCAUGCCGCGUGUGUGAAGAAGGCCUUAUGGUUGUAAAGCACUUUAAGCGAGGAGGAGGCUACUCUAGUUAAUACCUAGGGAUAGUGGACGUUACUCGCAGAAUAAGCACCGGCUAACUCUGUGCCAGCCGCCGCCGUAA
This 501-nucleotide ribosomal RNA is filed under the name uncultured bacterium. Its description in RNAcentral is "partial 16S ribosomal RNA". It matches the Rfam family "Bacterial small subunit ribosomal RNA", at positions 30 to 523 of the family's 1533-position model. The record is from RNAcentral.